This is a long non-coding RNA of Formica exsecta, 787 nucleotides long. RefSeq lists it as uncharacterized. The record is from RefSeq and is a predicted model, not a curated record. The transcript is spliced from 3 exons. NCBI's taxonomy places the organism in Eukaryota, Metazoa, Arthropoda, Insecta, Hymenoptera, Formicidae.
GUCUAUCUCGACAAGUGGUACACCGUACUCUACGCCGAAACGGAUUGCACCCGUAUCACUAUCAACGAGUACAACAACUUUUGGCGAGAGAUGCAGAACAGCGCAUCUAUUUUUCUGAAGGAUUUCUCGCUCAGUGUCGGCAAAACGAUUUUUUCCCCGACCGAAUUUUAUGGACGGAUGAAGCAACUUUCACCCCGAACGGCGUAUUUAAUAGUCGUAAUUAUUUAUAUUGGGCGGAAGACAAUCCGCACGCCGUUCGGGAAUGCUCGUUCCAAUAUCGAUGGGCGAUAAAUGUAUGGGCAGGAAUAACAGCGAACCGAGUCAUUGGUCCUUAUUUCCUACCGCCACAUUUAAAUGGGGAAAUAUAUUUAAACUUCCUCCAAAACGAGUUACCCAUUCUCCUCGAAGAUGUUCCUCUUAAUAUAAGAAAUAAACUCAUCUUCUAGCAUGACGGGGCUCCUGCGCAUUUCGCUCGCCGGGUUCGCGAAUAUUUAAACGCGCAUUAUCCGGACAGAUGGAUGGGUCGAGGUGGCCCAAUCAUUUGGCCGGCGCGAUCGCCAGACUUUAAUGUUUUAGAUUAUUUUGUAUGGGGUCACAUAAAAAAUUUAGUCGAACACAGGCGUGAUGGUACAGAAGCUGAAGUACGAGAAGCAAUUCUCGCAGCUUUUAAUACCAUCACGCCGGAAAUGGCGUAUCGCGCGACGCGCAAUAUUACUCGAAGAGCCGAACUCUGUUUACGAGAAUGAGGAAGGCACUUCGAACAAUUUUUACAUUAAAAUAUGAGAGU